AAGCUCGUAGUUGAAUUUCGGGGUUAGUAGGUUGGUCAUGCCUCUGGUAUGUACUGGUCUCACUGAUUCCUCCUUCCUUAUGAACCGUAAUGCCAUUAAUUUGGUGUUGCGGGGAAUUUGGACUGUUACUUUGAAAAAAUUAGAGUGUUUAAAGCAAGCUAACGCUUGAAUACAUUAGCAUGGAAUAAUGAAAUAGGACGUUCGAUCUUAUUUUGUUGGUUUCUAGGAUUGACGUAAUGAUUAAUAAGGAUAGUUGGG
RNAcentral lists this ribosomal RNA (258 nucleotides) under uncultured Glomus. Its description in RNAcentral is "partial 18S ribosomal RNA". It matches the Rfam family "Eukaryotic small subunit ribosomal RNA", at positions 624 to 886 of the family's 1831-position model. Lineage: Eukaryota; Fungi; Glomeromycota; Glomeromycetes; Glomerales; Glomeraceae. The record is from RNAcentral.